Molecule: transfer RNA, 72 nt
Filed under: Pangasius djambal
Lineage: Eukaryota; Metazoa; Chordata; Actinopteri; Siluriformes; Pangasiidae
Description: tRNA-Glu
Rfam family: tRNA
About the family: Transfer RNA (tRNA) molecules are approximately 80 nucleotides in length. Their secondary structure includes four short double-helical elements and three loops (D, anti-codon, and T loops). Further hydrogen bonds mediate the characteristic L-shaped molecular structure. tRNAs have two regions of fundamental functional importance: the anti-codon, which is responsible for specific mRNA codon recognition, and the 3' end, to which the tRNAs corresponding amino acid is attached (by aminoacyl-tRNA synthetases). tRNAs cope with the degeneracy of the genetic code in two manners: having more than one tRNA (with a specific anti-codon) for a particular amino acid; and 'wobble' base-pairing, i.e. permitting non-standard base-pairing at the 3rd anti-codon position.
Source: RNAcentral
UCCCUGGAGGCCUAGUGGUUAGGCCUCGGCACUCUCGCUGCCACAGCCCAGGUUUGAUUCCUGGCCAGGGAC